Molecule: ribosomal RNA, 520 nt
Filed under: Metschnikowia sp. (in: budding yeasts & allies)
Lineage: Eukaryota; Fungi; Ascomycota; Pichiomycetes; Serinales; Metschnikowiaceae
Description: eukaryotic LSU rRNA
Rfam family: Eukaryotic large subunit ribosomal RNA
Source: RNAcentral
AGCGGAGGAAAAGAAACCAACAGGGAUUGCCUCAGUAACGGCGAGUGAGCGGCAAAAGCUCAAAUUUGAAAUCCCCCGGGAAUUGUAAUUUGAAGAGAUUUGGGUCCGGCCGGCGGGGGUUAAGUCCACUGGAAAGUGGCGCCACAGAGGGUGACAGCCCCGUGAACCCCCUUAACGCCCUCAUCCCAGAUCUCCAAGAGUCGAGUUGUUUGGGAAUGCAGCUCUAAGUGGGUGGUAAAUUCCAUCUAAAGCUAAAUACCGGCGAGAGACCGAUAGCGAACAAGUACAGUGAUGGAAAGAUGAAAAGCACUUUGAAAAGAGAGUGAAAAAGUACGUGAAAUUGUUGAAAGGGAAGGGCUUGCAAGCAGACACUUAACUGGGCCAGCAUCGGGGCGGCGGGAAACAAAACCACCGGGGAAUGUACCUUUCGAGGAUUAUAACCCCGGUCUCUAUUUCCACGCCGCCCCGAGGCCUGCAAUCUAAGGAUGCUGGCGUAAUGGUUGCAAGUCGCCCGUCUUGA